This 515-nucleotide long non-coding RNA is filed under the name Zea mays. RNAcentral describes it as "long non-coding RNA NONZMAT003904". Lineage: Eukaryota; Viridiplantae; Streptophyta; Magnoliopsida; Poales; Poaceae. The record is from RNAcentral.
CUUGCUGGUAUGCCUGGUUUCCUAAUUAAUCUUUAUACUCCAGAUCAUACACCUCGAUCUCUUUUUCAUCGUCCCCGCCCCUCUGGAAGAGGCCUUGUUACAGAAAGCCGAGCAGCUUUGUAACCGCGGAUAGCAGCUAGCCCGCGCAUGCUAUAGCAUAAGGUUGGAUUCACGGAGGUAUAGAUAGAUGGCUGGAAAAGUAUAGAGACGUUCGGAGCGAGAAAUCGUCGACUGCAUAAACUCCGGUCUGCGUGUUGAUUUGUUCGAUGAGAUCGAAGCCGUCUGUCGCGGUGGCAUACAAAUCGAUUCUAAGAAUGCUAGAUAAAUACAAUGCGGAUUUAAACUAGAUUAUUAUAAUCUAUCUGAAAACCAUAAACAUCUACCCCCCGUUACAACGACUCCACAUCCUAUAAAUACAUCUUUAACAGAUGCAUGGGACCUGAAAACUGGACCCCUGCAGGUUUUUUGCACGUUUUUCGGUCAUAGUAUUUGAUCGAUAUAGUAGUUGAGAGGUG